CCAAAUAACUCCCAUUUCUCCCAAAUCGUGGAAGGCUGGAAGAAAAACCUUUUCCAAUUUCUUCAAUUCUUCCUUCGCCACACGCCCCUGCCUGCACGAUGCUGCACACAAGUGACGAGACACGACGGUGUAGAAGACCGCCGGUUUCACCCCUGCCCUGCAAGUUGCAGUGUGAGACACUUCUUCCUUUGCCACCGCGGGUUCACCCCUGAUUUCUAAUUGUUUUUCUAACAUGACUUUUGACUUCAUUCUGAAAAUCUUUCAUCUUUUUGAGUUUUGGAGUAAAGAUAGAUAUAUUGGUGUGUUGUCUAUUGAUAUACUAAUUAAUUAUCCAAUAAGCCAUAAAAUAUUGUAUUAUUAAUAAAUAGGGUGGAUUAAAAUUUAAAAGUACAAAAUUUAAUUAAAAACAAGAUUACUGCAAUUCGAAUUAUCUUCAUAAUUUACUUCUAUUAAUUAUUAUAUUCCUCAAAUAUUGGACUGAGGGUGAGGGAUAUAAUUAAAUAAUUGAACAGUGCCAUAUAUUAUGUGAGUGCUAAAUGAAAAUUUUCACAGGCUAUGAAUCAUAUGAUUGCCUAUUUGUAUGUGCUAACUACUAAAUUGGCAAAUUUAAUUUUAUUAUAUUGUAAUUUGUAGGUGCUUACUGCUCAACACCAUGUUUAACAGUUUAAGGGUAUCAAUUUGGCAUGAAAUUGGAGCAGAAUCAUAGAAUUCUUUGUCCACUUGGCAAGCAAGUUCUCUGGUUCACUGGUUGGAGACUUGGAGCCAAUAUUAAUGCCAAAGGAUUCCUUCCUCAGGUCAGUAACUUAAGUUGAUCAGUUGAUGUUAAAUAUGUUGUGAUUUAUUCAUUUGGGAAUUAAAAAAUUGCGAAUUGUGAUUUAUGAUUAUUGAUUUGAGAAUUUAUGUUUACGAAAUUAUAUUUGCAUUCGUGAUUUAUGAUAAGUAAUUUAUGUUUUGAUAAUGAAUGAUUAUUGAUUUGGGAAUUUAUGUUUACGGAUUUAUGUUGUGAAUUGUGAUUUAUGAUAAGUAAUUUAUGUUUUGUGAGUU
RNAcentral lists this long non-coding RNA (1044 nucleotides) under Olea europaea subsp. europaea. The record is from RNAcentral. Lineage: Eukaryota; Viridiplantae; Streptophyta; Magnoliopsida; Lamiales; Oleaceae.